This 240-nucleotide long non-coding RNA is filed under the name Mytilus galloprovincialis (Mediterranean mussel). Lineage: Eukaryota; Metazoa; Mollusca; Bivalvia; Mytilida; Mytilidae. The record is from RNAcentral.
AAGUAAAUAUAUAAAUUUGGUGUAUUUACUGUCUUCUGAUUGGUUAAAAUUAUUAGUUUUAUUUUCAAUGUUGUUAAUUUUGAUGGCGACACGCCCACUCUGACGUUGUGUAUUCAUACGCCAACAUGUGUGUACGUUGUUAUUGUUAAUAUAAAUAAUAUAAAAUGUUCUUUGAGCCUUAUUUUUGAUAGAAAUUUAUUUAUAAUGAAUGGCAAUAAUUUAUUUUGAUUUUAUUGAACC